Molecule: ribosomal RNA, 390 nt
Filed under: Melamphaes suborbitalis (shoulderspine bigscale)
Lineage: Eukaryota; Metazoa; Chordata; Actinopteri; Beryciformes; Melamphaidae
Description: partial 16S ribosomal RNA
Rfam family: Bacterial large subunit ribosomal RNA
Source: RNAcentral
CAAUCACUUGUCUUUUAAAUGAAGACCCGUAUGAAUGGCAUAACGAGGGCUUAGCUGUCUCUUUUCUCCGGUCAAUGAAAUUGAUCUCCCCGUGCAGAAGCGGGGAUUCUCUCAUAAGACGAGAAGACCCUAUGGAGCUUUAGACACAAAGCAACCCAAAUUACGACCCUAAAAUUAAAAUAGGGUAAUUCAAUGACCCCCCGCUCAACUGUCUUUGGUUGGGGCGACCCUGGGGAAAAACAAAACCCCCACGUGGAACAGAAGGACCCCUUCUACAACCAAGAGCCCCCGCUCUAAGUAACAGAACCUCUGACCAUUAAUGAUCCGGUAUAACCGAUCAACGAACCGAGUUACCCUAGGGAUAACAGCGCAAUCCCCUCCCAGAGCCCA